RNAcentral lists this ribosomal RNA (459 nucleotides) under uncultured bacterium. Its description in RNAcentral is "partial 16S ribosomal RNA". It matches the Rfam family "Bacterial small subunit ribosomal RNA", at positions 338 to 795 of the family's 1533-position model. The record is from RNAcentral.
CCUACGGGAGGCAGCAGUGAGGAAUAUUGGUCAAUGGCCGGAAGGCUGAACCAGCCAAGCCGCGUGAAGGACGAAGGUGCCAAGCAUUGUAAACUUCUUUUGUCAAGGGACAAAAUCAGGCUCGAGAGCCUGACCGAGGGUACUUGAAGAAAAAGCAUCGGCUAACUCCGUGCCAGCAGCCGCGGUAAUACGGAGGAUGCGAGCGUUAUCCGGAUUUAUUGGGUUUAAGGGGUGCGUAGGCGGACUGUUAAGUCAGCGGUAAAAGCCCGGGGCUCAACCCCGGCGAGCCGUUGAAACUGGCUGUCUUGAGAUGUCGAGAGGUAUGCGGAAUGCGCAGUGUAGCGGUGAAAGGCGUAGAGAUUGCGUAGAACUCCGAUUGCGAAGGCAGCAUACCGGCGGCGAUCUGACGCUGAGGCACGAAAGCGUGGGUAUCGAACAGGAUUAGAUACCCGGGUAGUC